This 494-nucleotide ribosomal RNA is filed under the name uncultured bacterium. Its description in RNAcentral is "partial 16S ribosomal RNA". It matches the Rfam family "Bacterial small subunit ribosomal RNA", at positions 28 to 507 of the family's 1533-position model. The record is from RNAcentral.
GACGAACGCUGGCGGCGUGCUUAACACAUGCAAGUCGAACGGAAAGGCCUGUCCUUUCUUGUGUUGGAGGGGUACUCGAGUGGGGAACGGACGAGUAACACGUGAGCGUUCUGCCCCCAACUUGGGUAUAAGCCUGGGAAACUGGGUCUAAUUCCCGAUUGGACCGCAGGGUGGUGCCGGUGGUGGCAAACGUUUUGCUAGUGGUUGGGGAUGAGCUCGCGGCGUAUCAGGUUGUUGGUGGGGUAAUGGCCUACGAAGGCGGGGACGGGAAGCCAGCCUGGGAGGGUCGACGGCGGCAGUGGGACUGGGAUACGGCCCAGACGCCUACGGGCAGCAGCAGUGGGGAAGCAUGCGCAGUGAGCGGGAGCCUGAUGCAGCGAGGCCGCGUGGGGGAUGACGGGCUUGGGGUUGUAACCUCCUUUCGACCGAGAGGAGGCCGCCUGGUUGGAAGGGUGGUGACGGUAGUGGUAGAAGAAGCACCGGCUAACUACGUG